GGGGUCGUGGUAUAACCUGGCAGCAUGCGAGGCUCCAGACCUUGAGAUGGGGGUUCGAAUCCCCCCGACCCCA
RNAcentral lists this transfer RNA (73 nucleotides) under Microcaldota archaeon. Its description in RNAcentral is "tRNA-Trp". It matches the Rfam family "tRNA". Rfam says of the family: Transfer RNA (tRNA) molecules are approximately 80 nucleotides in length. Their secondary structure includes four short double-helical elements and three loops (D, anti-codon, and T loops). Lineage: Archaea; Nanobdellati; Microcaldota. The record is from RNAcentral.